CUUCUUCUCUAUUUCCUUUUUCUUUACUUUUAUUAAUUUUAAUCUUUUGAUUUCUUUUUAUUUUAUGUUCCUCCCUGUUUCACCAUUGUAGUAGCUCUUCUUCCUCUUUUCUUUUUGCCCUUUUUUUGGUUUUGACUGUAUUUGUGCUUGGCCGUAUGAGUGUUGUGUAGUGCAUGUAUAUUUUUAUUCCUCACUUUUUUAGAGUUUGUCCAUUUUGUGUGGUGUGAGUUCUCUGUUUUCAGAGUUGUUUUGUGUAAUCUUUUUUUUUGUUAUUGCAAUUUCUAUAUUUGUAAUCGUAUGUAUAUGCAUGUUGGUUCCCUAUUCUUUUUUAAUAAUAUCUUGCUAGAUUUUUUACAUGCAUGUAAGUAAUUGUUCCUGAUUUAUACAUUACUUGUGUCAAUUUGAAGAUUUUUUUCGUUAUUAUCAAUUACUAAUUUGGAGCGGACUAUGCACCCAAGCAGGGGUGUAUGUAACAAGGGUUCAAUUGAACUCAUAAUUUUCGAUACGGAAUACAAAUGUAUACGCAAAAAAUCACUAAAAUUGUAAUAAAUUAUGUAUAUGAACUCAUAACUUUAAGAAUAUAAUGAGUUAAGUAGCAAGAACCUUAAAGGUUGAAUACAUAGAGUUUCUGGAUCCGCCUUUGCACCCAAGAUGCUUGAUGAUAUGUUUGCAAGAGGUGAAUCUGGACUUUAAUUUUCUGUUAGGUUUCUUUGCUCAUGAUUAUGUGUUGCUUUCGCGAUGGAAUGAAAAUUACUUUUCAUUUGGUAUAGUUUCUCGCAUCCUUUAUUAACCUGUGAAGUAAUCCUUGUUAGACAGGAGAGUCCAUGAAGAUACGAUGUUGCUCAAAUAUCAUUCUGAAUCAAGAAUUUAGAAGGCUUCAACACUGAUACCUUUAAUCUCAUGGUUGCAGGAAAUUAUAUUGUAUUUGGUUUAGUUACUGGUAUCCAUUAAUGUUCUGUGUCCAUAUAUAAUUUAAAAUGAUGUUAAAACAGUUGGAUAGCUACUAAAACAAAUGUAAAAUUUGAUUUGAUACAAAGAGCUGUACAUGAUAAACAUACACAUACACACGCACAUAUAUAGUUGAAGAAAAAGGUUGCUCUUUCAUCCAACAAUAUGUCUCUAUUUUAAAUUCUAUUAAGUUGUUGUAUAGUUAGAUGGCUACACUUCACAUGACAGAAAAGAAGGUUAAUAUCGAUGUAGUUGAUUAAAUGAUGAGAUUCUUCUGAACGUUUGAUAGUUAUGGUUCUGUGUAUCGAUACUAAAUUGAGUUCAGGAUGAGUAUUACAAUACAAUGGCGAAUAACUCAUUGUAUCAAUCGGUGUUUUCAGAACCUAAAGUUGCAAUACAACAUGAACUGUAGCAAAGCAUUAAAGUUGAAUUAUUCAGCCAAUGACAAAGUCAGGAACAGAAGAAGAUGGUGGCUUGCUCAAGCUCAAAUUCAGGAGCUCAGGUUGGCAAGCUAUUUGGAGUGCUGACACUUUUGAAAGUUAAAUUUCUUCAUCAAUGGAUCCUAAGGAAAAAAGAAAACAUCGUUGCUUAACUACAGAAGCUCAUGAUAACAAUACCAAACGCGCUAUAGCUGAAAAAACGCACUUUUGUUGCAACGCCGCGUCAAAAAAGAGAGGCAACCACUAAUCAGUCUUAUUGCAAAUACAAAUUGGGUCAAUCCUGUCGAGUCAACAUCUGUAACUCAGUGUAAUGUUAUUACUGGAGACUCUUGUUCUACUUCAAAAACAGGUGACUUCAAGCUGCAGCUGAGGAUAAGAUAGUCAUAUCUACUGGGAAAGAGAUGUUCGUGCCAAAGGAUCCCAAUGUCACCAUUAUAAUGCUAAGUCUUAAUUGUAUUUGCAUUAUGCUUUAACACGCAUUCUUCCAUCUUCUAAUCUAACUAAGCAUUUUUUUCAAAUUUGAACUUUUACAUGCAGUCCGACGUUGGAGCUAGAAUUUCUCCUUUACGUAAAAAAUUAUUUGAGAAACAUGAAAGAGUAUGUGUACAACCUCAAAUCAUUUGUAUCUCAUGUUCUUAAUUUUAUUGGCUUCAUUGCCAUAGCAGGGACAUGGAAAGAAUUAAAUGAAAAGGCUUGGUUUGAGUUUAAUUAAAAUCUGGUAGCACUUAUGAACUAAGGGGUCGUUUGGUAGCCGGUUAGAGAGGAAUUAUUCAUGUAUUAAAACUAGGAUAAUUUUAUGCAUUGUUUGAUUAAAAGAAGGAGAAAAAAUAAUCUCCACAUAGAAGCUAGCAUAAGUUAUACAAUGUUUGGUUGUUUUUUCCUCUUUUCCACAUAAGGCUCAUGAAAGUGGUAUAGGCUGAAUUUUACCAUUGACUCAGAUGACUUGAUUUUAGUGCAUUCUCUUUUUCUUAUUACUUUGUUGAAUGACACAGAUUUGGUAGCCUAUCGUUUGGCAUGGCUUUUCUAAGGUGUUAACUAAAGCUGUUCACUACUGUGCUAGGAGGUGUCAAGCAUAUCAUGCUUCUUGAUUCUCCAUCAUACGUUCUGUUGAAUCAAAAUUUGUUAUUUUAAAUUUUUUACUACAAAGAUCUCUAUAAGCUCAUAUAAUUAAAGGUAAAUCCUUAUGCUAGAGUUGAAAUAUGCAUCUUCAAAUGCAUUCAGCUAGACACGAGUUCUUUGGCUUCAAGUUGGAUCAACUGAUCAUUAGUUUGUAUAUAAAGCAUAUGUAUAAUCUGACUUUGCUAUUAUCUCAGUAUCAAGGUAUAUAUUUUGUUUGCAUCAUCAUUCCUGCUCAUUCAAAAUUUUCAUAUCUGUUGGUACACUUAACCUUGAUCUUUUGGUUAACUGCAGUUUCAUUUCGUCCCGAAGCACAUUCUUAUUUCCUAUCAUGCACCAGAGAUGAUAUGAUACUAUGCUUGAGGACAAAUGAUGUUUGAUAUGAUAGUUGUUAUUUCAGCAUGUGAAUAAAAUCUGCAGAAUGUAAAUUUAGAAAUGUUUGAAGUAUUUUAAGAGUUAGUUACUGAUUCA
This is a non-coding RNA of Nicotiana tabacum (common tobacco), 2975 nucleotides long. The record is from RefSeq and is a predicted model, not a curated record. NCBI's taxonomy places the organism in Eukaryota, Viridiplantae, Streptophyta, Magnoliopsida, Solanales, Solanaceae.